UACAGAGGUGGCAAGCGUUGUUCGGAAUUACUGGGCGUAAAGGGCGCGUAGGCGGUUUCGUAAGUCCUGUGUGAAAUCCCCCGGCUCAACUGGGGAACUGCACAGGAAACUGCGAGGCUUGAGUUCGGGAGAGGGAAGCGGAAUUCCGGGUGUAGCGGUGAAAUGCGUAGAUAUCCGGAGGAACACCGGUGGCGAAGGCGGCUUCCUGGACCGACACUGACGCUGAUGAGCGAAAGCCAGGGGAGCAAACGG
RNAcentral lists this ribosomal RNA (252 nucleotides) under uncultured bacterium. RNAcentral describes it as "partial 16S ribosomal RNA". It matches the Rfam family "Bacterial small subunit ribosomal RNA", at positions 524 to 775 of the family's 1533-position model. The record is from RNAcentral.